Molecule: long non-coding RNA, 3006 nt
Filed under: Solanum tuberosum (potato)
Lineage: Eukaryota; Viridiplantae; Streptophyta; Magnoliopsida; Solanales; Solanaceae
Description: long non-coding RNA (STUB_LNC000136)
Source: RNAcentral
AGCUAUUCAAAAAGGGUGAAAUGUACAGAUGCACCACACAAUCUUCAAAAAUAACAGACUUCCAAAACAUGGGUAAAGUUAACAUCAACUCAAUUCAGCUCCUAUGUCAAGUCUUCAGUACUGCUUUCAUCUCCUUCGAUAUCAUCACCUACAUACAAUUAAUGAAAUACAAAAUAAUUUAGCAAUUUUGUUGCAAAAGUUCAAUGACUUCAGUGAUAUAUUUUAAAGUUAUCACUCUAUAUCUACAACAUGCAUAAAAUUCAAUAAGAUUUAUGUAUAUGAUUCUUUGGAAUGGUCAUUCUUGGAACAGAUUCUGGAGGAGCUUCAAAUGCCAACCAAAGUCAUUCAGUAGUGGAUCAUGCAAUGUGUUACUACAAUCACUUAUUCUAUCUAGAUAAAUGGACAUAGCACAACUCUUUUUAAGGCCAAGACGGGAGUGAGACAAGGAGAUCCAAUGUCUCCUUACCUGUUUGUGCUAGCUAGCCAUGGAUUACUUGACUAGAAUUUUAAAGUACUUGCAGAAAAAUACUGAUUUCCACUAUCAUCCUAGAUGCAAAAAAAAAGAACAUAGUGCAGUUGAGCUUUGCUGAUGAUCUGCUAAUGUUUUGUAGAGGCGAUAUAAAAUCAGUGAAGUGUAUUAGAAAUUGUUUUAUGAUGUUCUCUAAAGCUUCAGGUCUGGUUGCAAAUGAAGAAAAGAGUAGUGUCUAUUUUGGAGGAGUCAAUAAACAACAGUAAGAGGAGAUUCUGCAGGAGUUAGAAUAUGUGAAAGGUGAACUACAUUUUAGGUACCUUAAUUGGAGUGCCCUUGAGUACUAAAAGGAUUUCCAUUAUACAAAUUUUGGAGCCCCUAGGUGGUUGUUCAUCAUGUAUUUAGCAGUGAAAAGAAGACUUGCAACCAAAGAUAGAUUGGCAAAGUGGGGAAUCAUUCAAGUACUAACCUGUCCCUUAUGCCAAUCGGUAGAUGAAGAUCAUGAUCACAAUUUUUUUUAAUGUGCAUAUGCAACAGAGCUGUGGAGGAGUAUACUACAUUGGCAAGGAAUAGAAAGAAAUGCAAUGAACUGGACUAAUGAGAUAAAUUGGGCAGUGCACUACAUGAAAGGGAGAAGCAGCAAGUCCCUUGUGUAUAGAAUGGCAAUGGUAAACACAGUUUAUCAUUUAUGGCUAGAGCGCAAUACCAGAAUUUUUCACAAAACAGCAGUCAAUAAGCUACUUGACCAGGCAUAUAAUUAAGGAGAUACAUGGAAGAGGCAUUAGGUAUCCAAGAAUAACUACUAGAUUAAGCACUUUAAAUUCUUACCCAUAGAGAUAGCUAGCAGAUGUGAGAACUUUGUUUAGCAAGGAUAGAGCUUAUGUCCAUACCGACUACUUUUUGCUUUGUAACGUUUACUUGGUAAAUAAAAUGUUUACUUACCAAAAAGAAAAAAUAAUUCAAUAAGAUUCAAAUGACAUCAAGAAAAUAGCAUAGUUGCAAGAGAUAUUUGCAUACUGCUUCUGGGAAUUAUACCAGCUAGAGUCUCUAUUCAAGUACAGAAUAUGGCUGGUUUUUCUUCACAGGUCUGUGCAACUACUAUAUAGUGUUUGAUAGACCAGCCUUUUAAGUGAUAUCUACUUCCUCAUGUCUUAGAAUGCCUCCUACAGUUUUGAGCUGGGAGAUUUGGAAGCCUAGAUGCAAAGCGAGAUUUGAAGGCUCAAAGGUUUCUACUUACAGAGUUGCGGAACAGGUAAAAAGAUUGAUGAUUCUAAUUCUUAACAAACACUUUCCAUGUCUUAAUUUCAGAGGAAGUUGGAAAGAGUUGUGCAGCAAGAUUGAAAGAGCAAAGCCAACUAUUAACAGAUCAUGAAGACUAGCAAUUUUAGAAUAACUCACUGUUUCAGAGAAGCUAAUGAAGUCGCUGAUUUACUAGCCAAUGUUAGGGUCAUGGUAAAGCAUGACACAUUCUUUACUGAGGUGUUUUGUUUGCCUAGACAAGUGAAAGUUGCACUGAAGAAUGAUCAGUAUGGCAGGCCUAAUCUCAAGAUCAGAAUUAAAAAAAGACAUUUCAGUUUCUAACAUGUAUUUAUGCACUUUUAUUUUCAGUUAUUUUUAUACCCUUCAGGGACAUGUUAUCUCAGAUGUGAGUCUAUCUUCGAGCUACAUCCAAACUUAUUGUCUAUGUAUACGACACUUUUUGUACAAGGAUGAAAUUUUCAUCCUUAUUAACCCCCAUCAUUACAAGCACAGUCAAUACCUGCCAUCUAUAUCUCCAAUGUCAUUGUCUUGCUUAUAAUGACUAGCAUGUUAACCAAGUACGCCACGGAAGAGAAGCAGUGAUUGCAAGACAUUCAAAACACAAUGGAAUGCUUGCAAUCAUCUUCAAAUCAAAAGACUACUACGUUAUGAUGAUGGAAGAAUGUAAGUAUACAAUUUGGGGUGGAAUCUUAGCUGCAAAAGUAAUCAAAACUGUCCACAAACAGGAGAACCAAUCUUAAUGAACAGAACUGGAAAAUCUGAUUCAGAUUAGCCAGACACUAAAAGUAGGGGAAGAAGUAGGGUUAGGAAAAAUGGGAGGAAAAAUAGAAGCCAAAACCAACCCUCUCAAAAAAGAAAAGCAAAAAAUGAUAACACAGGCCAUUCACAAGAGGUGUCUGCUACCACAGGCCAUUCAGGCUAAAACGUACGUGUACUAUAAUAUAAAUAUGAAAUUGUCUUGAGAUUCAUUAGGCAAUGAUCAAGAGGGCUAGCUUACAAAACUCAAAUCACCAUCAAUUCAGUUAACAAACUAGUCCACCAGGAAAUCGAAAAAUACACUGUUAAGUGUAGCCAAGAGUAUUAAUGUUUUCUACUGUCAAGAGAAAGUACAGUCACAACAGAGAAAUGAAAAAGAGUUGCAAAAGAAAGAUAAAGUAGUAGUAGAAGGAGAAGAAGAAAUAGUCUAAACAGAGAUUUAGCCACACUAACCUUGCUCAGCUGUUUGAGCAGAAGUAGCUUCUCUUGGUGAAGGAACAGACAAUGCUGCUAGUAUGUUA